RNAcentral lists this long non-coding RNA (783 nucleotides) under Oncorhynchus mykiss (rainbow trout). RNAcentral describes it as "lncRNA (ENSOMYG00000058809.1)". The record is from RNAcentral. Lineage: Eukaryota; Metazoa; Chordata; Actinopteri; Salmoniformes; Salmonidae.
AUGUAUCUAUCUAAAAAAACAUUUGUCUGUUUAUUCACUUCCUUCAGAUCCAUGAUUGAAUGCAAAGCACACGAGUUGAAAUACUACACAGUUGAGACUGGCAAUACUUUGGAUUCUCAUAUUCAGUUUAUGAGACAACUCAACAACACCACAAGAUGUUUUACAGAAGUCGAGUCGCCAGUGGAGAGUGAUGUCAUCAUGGCUUUCUGUCCCAUCGUCUCCCGCGCCGGGACUGAUAUUGAAGCAGCACUGCAACAGAUUCCAAUGGGUAAAGAUGUCAUUCUGGUAGUGCUGCAUCACACCUUCAACCCAGACUACACUGUACCUUACAGCAGCAGACUAGUGACCAGAAGUGAUGUAAUACUCACAGUGGACUGUCUGUUCCAUGAGAGACUGGGAGGACUACUGGACUGUCCUCGCAAUGAUGCAGCAGUCAGAAAUAUUAGGCAGAAGUUUGACACAGUGGACUGUCUGUUCCAUGAGAGCCAGGGACUACUGGACUGUCCUCACAAUGAUGCAGCAGUCAGAAAUAUUAGGCAGAAGUUUGACACAGUGGACUGUCUGUUCCAUGAGAGCCAGGGACUACUGGACUGUCCUCACAAUGAUGCAGCAGUCAGAAAUAUUAGGCAGAAGAUUGACAUAGAUCCUGUGGCCAGAAAUCGUGACUGUCUAGCUUGGAUUCUAAACGCUGCCAUGGUGUUACUGUCUUUAUGCUGCAACUGCCCUUGUGUGGUGUUUUCUUACAUGAUGGGGCUCAUCUCAGGCAAAAGUAGGUUCCAGUAG